GGGCGGUUAGCUCAGGGGGAGAGCGCCUCGUUCACACCGAGGAGGUCACAGGUUCAAAUCCUGUAUCGCCCA
Molecule: transfer RNA, 72 nt
Filed under: Armatimonadota bacterium
Lineage: Bacteria; Bacillati; Armatimonadota
Description: Armatimonadetes bacterium (sediment metagenome) tRNA-Val
Rfam family: tRNA
About the family: Transfer RNA (tRNA) molecules are approximately 80 nucleotides in length.
Source: RNAcentral